RNAcentral lists this ribosomal RNA (496 nucleotides) under uncultured bacterium. RNAcentral describes it as "partial 16S ribosomal RNA". It matches the Rfam family "Bacterial small subunit ribosomal RNA", at positions 29 to 507 of the family's 1533-position model. The record is from RNAcentral.
AUGAACGCUGGCGGCGUGCCUAAUACAUGCAAGUCGCGCUAACAGAUGAGGAGCUUGCUCCUCUGACGUUAGCGGCGGACGGGUGAGUAACACGUGGAUAACCUACCUAUAAGACUGGGAUAACUUCGGGAAACCGGAGCUAAUACCGGAUAAUAUAUUGAACCGCAUGGUUCAAUAGUGAAAGACGGUUUUGCUGUCACUUAUAGAUGGAUCCGCGCCGCAUUAGCUAGUUGGUAAGGUAACGGCUUACCAAGGCAACGAUGCGUAGCCGACCUGAGAGGGUGAUCGGCCACACUGGAACUGAGACACGGUCCAGACUCCUACGGGAGGCAGCAGUAGGGAAUCUUCCGCAAUGGGCGAAAGCCUGACGGAGCAACGCCGCGUGAGUGAUGAAGGUCUUCGGAUCGUAAAACUCUGUUAUUAGGGAAGAACAAAUGUGUAAGUAACUAUGCACGUCUUGACGGUAUCUAAUCAGAAAGCCACGGCUAACUACGUG